RNAcentral lists this ribosomal RNA (597 nucleotides) under Acinetobacter ursingii. Its description in RNAcentral is "bacterial SSU rRNA". It matches the Rfam family "Bacterial small subunit ribosomal RNA", at positions 61 to 650 of the family's 1533-position model. Lineage: Bacteria; Pseudomonadati; Pseudomonadota; Gammaproteobacteria; Moraxellales; Moraxellaceae. The record is from RNAcentral.
GUCGAGCGGAGAGAAGUAGCUUGCUACUGAUCUUAGCGGCGGACGGGUGAGUAAUACUUAGGAAUCUGGCUAUUAGUGGGGGACAACAUUUCGAAAGGGAUGCUAAUACCGCAUACGUCCUACGGGAGAAAGCAGGGGAUCAGUAAUGACCUUGCGCUAAUAGAUGAGCCUAAGUCGGAUUAGCUAGUUGGUGGGGUAAAGGCCUACCAGGGCGACGAUCUGUAGCGGGUCUGAGAGGAUGAUCCGCCACACUGGGACUGACACACGGCCCACACUCCUACGGGAGGCAGCAGUGGGGAAUAUUGGACAAUGGGGGGAACCCUGAUCCAGCCGUGCCGCGUGUGUGAAGAAGGCCUUAUGGUUGUAAAGCACUUUAAGCGAGGAGGAGGGUACUGGUAUUAAUACUACCAGGUACUGGACGUUACUCGCAGAAUAAGCACCGGCUAACUCUGUGCCAGCAGCCGCGGUAAUACAGAGGGUGCGAGCGUUAAUCGGAUUUACUGGGCGUAAAGCGUGCGUAGGCGGCUAAUUGAGUCGGAUGUGAAAUCCCCGAGCUUAACUUGAGAAUUGCAUUCGAUACUGGUUAGCUAGAGUGUG